AUUGAACGCUGGCGGCAUGCCUUACACAUGCAAGUCGAACGGCAGCACGGGGGCAACCCUGGUGGCGAGUGGCGAACGGGUGAGUAACAUAUCGGAACAUACCCUAGAGUGGGGGAUAACGUAGCGAAAGUUACGCUAAUACCGCAUACGAUCUAAGGAUGAAAGUGGGGGAUCUUCGGACCUCAUGCUCAUGGAGUGGCCGAUAUCUGAUUAGCUAGUUGGUGAGGUAAAGGCUCACCAAGGCGACGAUCAGUAGCUGGUUUGAGAGAACGACCAGCCACACUGGAACUGAGACACGGUCCAGACUCCUACGGGAGGCAGCAGUGGGAAUUUUGGACAAUGGGGGCAACCCUGAUCCAGCAAUGCCGCGUGAGUGAAGAAGGCCUUCGGGUUGUAAGACUCUUUGUACAGGGAAGAAACGGUGAGUUCUAAUAC
This 435-nucleotide ribosomal RNA is filed under the name uncultured bacterium. RNAcentral describes it as "bacterial SSU rRNA". It matches the Rfam family "Bacterial small subunit ribosomal RNA", at positions 30 to 465 of the family's 1533-position model. The record is from RNAcentral.